This 544-nucleotide ribosomal RNA is filed under the name uncultured Glomeromycotina. RNAcentral's name for it is "SSU rRNA". It matches the Rfam family "Eukaryotic small subunit ribosomal RNA", at positions 548 to 1098 of the family's 1831-position model. Lineage: Eukaryota; Fungi; Glomeromycota. The record is from RNAcentral.
UUGGAGGGCAAGUCUGGUGCCAGCAGCCGCGGUAAUUCCAGCUCCAAUAGCGUAUAUUAAAGUUGUUGCAGUUAAAAAGCUCGUAGUUGAAUUUCGGGGUUCUACCGUUGGUCGGGCUUUGUCUGUACUGGUGUGUAGAAUUUCUACCUUCUGGGGAACCAUCAUGCUAUUAAUUUAGCGUGGUGGGAAACCAGGACCUUUACCUUGAAAAAAUUAGUGUGUUCAAAGCAGGCUUAUGUCUGAAUACAUUAGCGUGGAAUAAUAGAAUAGGACGGUGGUCCUGUUUUGUUGGUUUCUGAAUCACCGUAAUGAUUAAUAGGGAUAGUUGGGGGCAUUAGUAUUCAAUUGCCAGAGGUGAAAUUCUUGGAUUUAUUGAAGACUAACUUCUGCGAAAGCAUUUGCCAAGGAUGUUUUCAUUAAUCAAGAACGAAAGUUAGGGGAUCGAAGACGAUCAGAUACCGUCGUAGUCUUAACCAUAAACUAUGCCGACUAGGGAUCGGACGAUGUUAAUUUUUCUUGACUCGUUCGGCGCCUUACGGGAAAC